CCCGGGGUCUUGUACACACCGCCCGUCACACCAUGGGAGCGGGAUGUACCAGAAGUAGGUAGGCUAACCGCAAGGGGGCCGCUUACCACGGUGCGUUUCGUGACUGGGGUG
RNAcentral lists this ribosomal RNA (111 nucleotides) under uncultured bacterium. Its description in RNAcentral is "partial 16S ribosomal RNA". It matches the Rfam family "Bacterial small subunit ribosomal RNA", at positions 1372 to 1482 of the family's 1533-position model. The record is from RNAcentral.